GGGGUUGUGGCUCAGUGGUAGAGCGCUCGCUUAGCACAUGCAAGGCCCUGGGUUCGAUCCCCAGCACCA
This 69-nucleotide transfer RNA is filed under the name Ictidomys tridecemlineatus (thirteen-lined ground squirrel). RNAcentral's name for it is "Spermophilus tridecemlineatus (thirteen-lined ground squirrel) tRNA". It matches the Rfam family "tRNA". From Rfam's summary of the family: Transfer RNA (tRNA) molecules are approximately 80 nucleotides in length. Their secondary structure includes four short double-helical elements and three loops (D, anti-codon, and T loops). Further hydrogen bonds mediate the characteristic L-shaped molecular structure. tRNAs have two regions of fundamental functional importance: the anti-codon, which is responsible for specific mRNA codon recognition, and the 3' end, to which the tRNAs corresponding amino acid is attached (by aminoacyl-tRNA synthetases). tRNAs cope with the degeneracy of the genetic code in two manners: having more than one tRNA (with a specific anti-codon) for a particular amino acid; and 'wobble' base-pairing, i.e. permitting non-standard base-pairing at the 3rd anti-codon position. Lineage: Eukaryota; Metazoa; Chordata; Mammalia; Rodentia; Sciuridae. The record is from Rfam by way of RNAcentral.